Long non-coding RNA from Vigna unguiculata (cowpea), 175 nucleotides. Lineage: Eukaryota; Viridiplantae; Streptophyta; Magnoliopsida; Fabales; Fabaceae. The record is from RefSeq and is a predicted model, not a curated record.
CGAAGAAGACAACAAAGGUACACUUUUUUCGUCUUCCAUACAAAGGUGGAAUCUUUUCAGAGGAAUGAAGGUUUGAAGAACACUAGAAAGGAAGGUUUUGUGCUAGAUCAAUGAUUUGUUUCAAGACUACAACCAAGUUUCUAGAUGGAUGAAGUGUUUGAAGAAUACAACAAAG